ACACCACCAAUAUUAGAACAGUCACUUGCUCAAGAUGUCAGUAUUAAAAGAAAAGGAAUAUUAACAGAUACAAAUUUAAGUAUACUCCAGUACAUUUAUACUUCCACAACUCUAAACACAGAGACAUAGUGAUUCAUACUCUUUGAGAUUUUCCCGUUAAGGAAGCGUAAUUUAAAACAGGGAAUGGUUCUCAGAUUUCCUUGCAAGAAAAUCUUCUGGUUGUGACAAGCAUUAUCAAAACAGGUUACAGAGAAUCUCCAUUUUGUUUUUGGCCUUCAUGAAGUGGUUCCCUGAAUUUGUCCAUUUUCUGACAUUUUAGCCCAGCAUGGGUGCUUCAUUUGCUUAUUAGCUUCUGCUAACUUUCUUUUGAUGCAACGGAGCUAGCAUUCCUCUUGGUUCUCAGUAGGCACAGGGGUCACCUACUGUUUUCAUGGUGUC
RNAcentral lists this long non-coding RNA (438 nucleotides) under Bos taurus (domestic cattle). Its description in RNAcentral is "long non-coding RNA NONBTAT016987". Lineage: Eukaryota; Metazoa; Chordata; Mammalia; Artiodactyla; Bovidae. The record is from RNAcentral.